RNAcentral lists this ribosomal RNA (801 nucleotides) under uncultured bacterium. RNAcentral's name for it is "bacterial SSU rRNA". It matches the Rfam family "Bacterial small subunit ribosomal RNA", at positions 78 to 898 of the family's 1533-position model. The record is from RNAcentral.
CUAUAAUUGUCAGCUAAGUGGCGCACGGGUGAGUAAUGUAUAGAUAACCUGCCCUUAAGAAAGGAAUAACAGUUGGAAACGACUGCUAAUGCCCUAUAUGCCUUUAAUACAUAAGUAUGCAAGGGAAACGCUUUAGUGCUUAAGGAUGGGUCUGUAUGGUAUCAGCUUGUUGGUGAGGUAAUGGCUCACCAAGGCUAUGACGCCUAACUGGUUUGAGAGGAUGAUCAGUCACACUGGAACUGAGACACGGUCCAGACUCCUACGGGAGGCAGCAGUGGGGAAUAUUGCACAAUGGACGAAAGUCUGAUGCAGCAACGCCGCGUGGAGGAUGACACAUUUCGGUGCGUAAACUCCUUUUAUAUAGGAAGAUAAUGACGGUACUAUAUGAAUAAGCACCGGCUAACUCCGUGCCAGCAGCCGCGGUAAUACGGAGGGUGCAAGCGUUACUCGGAAUCACUGGGCGUAAAGAGCGUGUAGGCGGGUAUAUAAGUCAGAAGUGAAAUCCAAUAGCUCAACUGUUGAACUGCUUUUGAAACUGUAUACCUAGAAUGUGGGAGAGGUAGAUGGAAUUUCUGGUGUAGGGGUAAAAUCCGUAGAGAUCAGAAGGAAUACCGAUUGCGAAGGCGAUCUACUGGAACAUUAUUGACGCUGAGACGCGAAAGCGUGGGGAGCAAACAGGAUUAGAUACCCUGGUAGUCCACGCCCUAAACGAUGUACACUAGUUGUUGUGAGGCUCGACCUUGCAGUAAUGCAGUUAACACAUUAAGUGUACCGCCUGGGGAGUACGGUCGCAAGAUUAAA